GAUGAACGCUGGCGGCGUGCCUAAUACAUGCAAGUCGAGCGAACGGACGAGAAGCUUGCUUCUCUGAUGUUAGCGGCGGACGGGUGAGUAACACGUGGAUAACCUACCUAUAAGACUGGGAUAACUUCGGGAAACCGGAGCUAAUACCGGAUAAUAUUUUGAACCGCAUGGUUCAAAAGUGAAAGACGGUCUUGCUGUCACUUAUAGAUGGAUCCGCGCUGCAUUAGCUAGUUGGUAAGGUAACGGCUUACCAAGGCAACGAUGCAUAGCCGACCUGAGAGGGUGAUCGGCCACACUGGAACUGAGACACGGUCCAGACUCCUACGGGAGGCAGCAGUAGGGAAUCUUCCGCAAUGGGCGAAAGCCUGACGGAGCAACGCCGCGUGAGUGAUGAAGGUCUUCGGAUCGUAAAACUCUGUUAUUAGGGAAGAACAUAUGUGUAAGUAACUGUGCACAUCUUGGCGGUACCUAAUCAGAAAGCCACGGCUAACUACGUGCCAGCGGCCGCGGUAAUACGUAGGUGGCAAGCGUUAUCCGGAAUUAUUGGGCGUAAAGCGCGCGUAGGCGGUUUUUUAAGUCUGAUGUGAAAGCCCACGGCUCAACCGUGGAGGGUCAUUGGAAACUGGAAAACUUGAGUGCAGAAGAGGAAAGUGGAAUUCCAUGUGUAGCGGUGAGAUGCGCAGAGAUAUGGAGGAACACCAGUGGCGAAGGCGACUUUCUGGUCUGUAACUGACGCUGAUGUGCGAAAGCGUGGGGAUCAAACAGGAUUAGAUACCCUGGUAGUCCACGCCGUAAACGAUGAGUGCUAAGUGUUAGGGGGUUUCCGCCCCUUAGUGCUGCAGCUAACGCAUUAAGCACUCCGCCUGGGGAGUACGACCGCAAGGUUGAAACUCAAAGGAAUUGACGGGGACCCGCACAAGCGGUGGAGCAUGUGGUUUAAUUCGAAGCAACGCGAAGAACCUUACCAAAUCUUGACAUCCUUUGACAACUCUAGAGAUAGAGCCUUCCCCUUCGGGGGACAAAGUGACAGGUGGUGCAUGGUUGUCGUCAGCUCGUGUCGUGAGAUGUUGGGUUAAGUCCCGCAACGAGCGCAACCCUUAAGCUUAGUUGCCAUCAUUAAGUUGGGCACUCUAAGUUGACUGCCGGUGACAAACCGGAGGAAGGUGGGGAUGACGUCAAAUCAUCAUGCCCCUUAUGAUUUGGGCUACACACGUGCUACAAUGGACAAUACAAAGGGCAGCGAAACCGCGAGGUCAAGCAAAUCCCAUAAAGUUGUUCUCAGUUCGGAUUGUAGUCUGCAACUCGACUACAUGAAGCUGGAAUCGCUAGUAAUCGUAGAUCAGCAUGCUACGGUGAAUACGUUCCCGGGUCU
RNAcentral lists this ribosomal RNA (1372 nucleotides) under uncultured bacterium. RNAcentral's name for it is "bacterial SSU rRNA". It matches the Rfam family "Bacterial small subunit ribosomal RNA", at positions 28 to 1381 of the family's 1533-position model. The record is from RNAcentral.